Molecule: ribosomal RNA, 905 nt
Filed under: Craterellus fallax
Lineage: Eukaryota; Fungi; Basidiomycota; Agaricomycetes; Cantharellales; Hydnaceae
Description: partial large subunit ribosomal RNA
Rfam family: Eukaryotic large subunit ribosomal RNA
Source: RNAcentral
UAACAGGAUUCCCUCAGUAACGGCGAGUGAAGAGGGAAGAGCUCAGUUUUGAAAUCUGGCAGUGAUUCACUGUCCGAGUUGUAAAUUGAAGAGAAUGUCAUCCACGCUGGACCACGUCUAAAUUGUAAUGAUCCACAGUCCUUUGAUGGAGUAUCAGAGAGGGUAAUAAUCCCGUCUUUAACGUGGACUGCCAGUGUUUCUGUGAUGCACUCUCUCAGAGUCGAGUAGUUUGGGAAUGCUGCUCUAAUGGGAGGUAAACUCCUUCUAAAGCUAAAUAUUGGCGAGAGACCGAUAGCGAACAAGUACCGUGAGGGAAAGAUGAAAAGAACUCUGAAAAGAGAGUCAAAUAGAACGUGAAAUUGCUGAAAGGGAAGCGUUUGGAGUCAGACGCGUCUUCAUGCAAUACAGCUCAGUGGCAGAGACUUUGAGACAAGUUACUUGAAGACGGGCCAGCACUCACGAAGACCAUUGAAGAAGGGGUCAUGGAAUGUAGCUCAGUGCUGAGUGAUUAUAGCCUUGAUUCAAAAGCAAUGUGUCCUUUGUGAGAGAUGGACAGCACGGACAACAGUUCAGUGCUUGAUUGACUGGCAUAAUGGCUCUAAGCGACCCGUCUUGAAACACGGACCAAGGAGUCUAACAUGUAUGCGAGUAUUAGAGUGAUUGAAACUCUGAAUGCGCAAUGAAAGUGUUUUUGACUGAGAAUCCUCUGGGAGGCAUCAGUACCCCGAGUCUGUUAGUCUUUGACUAAAGAUUUGGAGGUAGAGCAUAUAUGUUGGGACCCGAAAGAUGGUGAACUAUGCCUGAAUAGGGUGAAGUCAGAGGAAACUCUGAUGGAGGCCCGUAGCGAUUCUGACGUGCAAAUCGAUCGUAGAAUUUGGGUAUAGGGGCGAAAGACUAAUCGAACC